This 302-nucleotide long non-coding RNA is filed under the name Malus domestica (apple). RNAcentral's name for it is "long non-coding RNA (MDOM_LNC016449)". Lineage: Eukaryota; Viridiplantae; Streptophyta; Magnoliopsida; Rosales; Rosaceae. The record is from RNAcentral.
AGAGCUCUGUAAAUGAAGCUUUCGAAGCUGGAGCUUUUGUAAAUGAAGCUUUCGAAGCUGGAGCUUUUGUAAAUGAAGCUUUUGAAGCUAGAGCUCUGUAAAUGAAGCUUUUGAAGCUGAUUGACAUGAGUGAUGCUUAUGAAUGUUUAUGUUGAUUGACAUGAGUGAUGCUUAUGGAUGUUGUCAUGAGUGAUGCUCAUGAAUGUUAACAUGAGUGAUGCUCAUGAAUGUUGACAUGAAUGAUGGUCAUGAAUGUUCAUGUAUGAUUGUCAUGAGUGAUGCUCGUGAAUGUUUAUGUAUGA